RNAcentral lists this ribosomal RNA (296 nucleotides) under uncultured bacterium. Its description in RNAcentral is "partial 16S ribosomal RNA". It matches the Rfam family "Bacterial small subunit ribosomal RNA", at positions 46 to 334 of the family's 1533-position model. The record is from RNAcentral.
GCUUAACACAUGCAAGUUGAACGGUAACGGGGAGGGAGAUUACUUUCUCUGCUGACGAGUGGCGGACGGGUGAGUAAAGCUUGGGAAUCUGGCGAAUGGAGGGGGAUAGCCACGGGAAACUGUGGGUAAUACCGCGUAAUGUCUAAGGACCAAAGGGGUGGGGACUGAGAGGCCACCUGCCAUUUGAUGAGCCCAAGUGGGAUUAGGUAGUUGGUGAGGUAAGGGCUCACCAAGCUGACGAUCUCUAGCUGGUCUGAGAGGAUGGCCAGCCACACUGGAACUGAGACACGGUCCAG